Molecule: ribosomal RNA, 420 nt
Filed under: uncultured eukaryote
Lineage: Eukaryota
Description: SSU rRNA
Rfam family: Eukaryotic small subunit ribosomal RNA
Source: RNAcentral
CAAUAGCGUAUAUUAAAAUUGUUGCGGUUAAAACGCUCGUAGUUGGAUAUUUGUUGAGAACUGCCGGUCUACCCUAGUGGUGAGCACUCGGUUUGUCCUCGGCACUUUACUGGGGAGAGUGUUUGCACUUCAUUGUGUGGCACAUGAUCCAGAACUUUUACUUUGAGGAAAUGAGAGUGUUUCAAGCAGGCGUCUGUCGUGAAUACGUUAGCAUGGAAUAAUAGCAUAGGACCGCGGUCUGACGCUGUUGGUUGUUGGACCGGGGUAAUGAAAAUAGGGAUAGUUGGGGGUAUUCGUAUUUAACUGUCAGAGGUGAAAUUCUUGGAUUUUUUAAAGACGGACUACUGCGAAAGCAUCUGCCCAGGAUGUUUUUAUUGAUCAAGAACGAAAGUUAGGGGAUCGAAGACGAUCAGAUACCGU